GCGGGACACGUGGUAUCCUGUCUGAAUAUGGGGGGACCAUCCUCCAAGGCUAAAUACUCCUGACUGACCGAUAGUGAACCAGUACCGUGAGGGAAAGGCGAAAAGAACCCCGGCGAGGGGAGUGAAAAAGAACCUGAAACCGUGUACGUACAAGCAGUGGGAGCCUCUUAAUGGGGUGACUGCGUACCUUUUGUAUAAUGGGUCAGCGACUUAUAUUCUGUAGCAAGGUUAACCGAAUAGGGGAGCCGAAGGGAAACCGAGUCUUAACUGGGCGUUAAGUUGCAGGGUAUAGACCCGAAACCCGGUGAUCUAGCCAUGGGCAGGUUGAAGGUUGGGUAACACUAACUGGAGGACCGAACCGACUAAUGUUGAAAAAUUAGCGGAUGACUUGUGGCUGGGGGUGAAAGGCCAAUCAAACCGGGAGAUAGCUGGUUCUCCCCGAAAGCUAUUUAGGUAGCGCCUCGUGAAUUCAUCUCCGGGGGUAGAGCACUGUUUCGGCAAGGGGGUCAUCCCGACUUACCAACCCGAUGCAAACUGCGAAUACCGGAGAAUGUUAUCACGGGAG
RNAcentral lists this ribosomal RNA (565 nucleotides) under Escherichia coli. RNAcentral describes it as "partial 23S ribosomal RNA". It matches the Rfam family "Bacterial large subunit ribosomal RNA", at positions 417 to 983 of the family's 2925-position model. The record is from RNAcentral. Lineage: Bacteria; Pseudomonadati; Pseudomonadota; Gammaproteobacteria; Enterobacterales; Enterobacteriaceae.